GAUGAACGCUGGCGGCGGGCCUAACACAUGCAAGUCGAACGGUAAGAGGAAGCAGUUUGCUGCUUUGCGGGAGAGGGGCGGGCGGGUGAGACAUGUGUAGGAACCUCCUUGAUGGCGGGGAAAACCUAGUGAAACCGGUGGCUAAUCCCGAAAAGCGUCUGAAGCACAUAGAGGGGUAGCUAAGGGCGGCUUGCCUGGGGCUGAUCGCAGGCGGUAUUAGCUAGUAGGUGGGGUAACGGGUCACCUAGUAGAAGAGCCGUAGCUGGUCUGAGAGGAUGAUGGGCCACACUGGAACUGAGACACGGUCCAGACUCCUACGGGAGGCAGCAGUGGGGAAUAUUGCGCAAUGGGCGCAAGCCUGAUGCAGCCAUGCCGCGUGUGUGAAGAAGGCCUUCGGAUCGUAAAGUACUUUCAGCGGGGAGGAAGGGAUUUAAGUUAAGACCUGUGCUCAUUGACGGUACCCGCUGAAGAAGCACCGGCUAACUACGUG
RNAcentral lists this ribosomal RNA (490 nucleotides) under uncultured bacterium. RNAcentral describes it as "partial 16S ribosomal RNA". It matches the Rfam family "Bacterial small subunit ribosomal RNA", at positions 28 to 507 of the family's 1533-position model. The record is from RNAcentral.